This is a long non-coding RNA of Hemicordylus capensis (graceful crag lizard), 734 nucleotides long. RefSeq lists it as uncharacterized. The transcript is spliced from 3 exons. NCBI's taxonomy places the organism in Eukaryota, Metazoa, Chordata, Lepidosauria, Squamata, Cordylidae. The record is from RefSeq and is a predicted model, not a curated record.
GGAUCAAAUCAGGAGCCAGGGGUCAGGAACACACCAGAGAUCACACGGAACAGACACUCAAGAACCAGGGGUCAAACUCGCAGCCAGAAGUUGAACCAGUAGAAGUUGAACCAGACUGUAUGCUCCGUGGGACCAGGGACCUGUAAAGCACUAUGGACACUGACAGCAUGAUAGGCUGGUUCUCUUAAUGAUAAACUGGGUACUAAAAAUGUGAUUAAGGUUGCAGAGGGUCUUUUGGCAGGAGAGUUUCCAGAUUGGAGUGUCAAGGACAAAUCAGCAUUUUUGGCUGUGUCAGUUUCAGACUGAAUUCUUCCAGGAACUCCAACUCAUACUGUUAUCACAAGUUGCUCUACUCAGUUUUUCAAAAAGAGACACUCCAAGGCAAGAUACAGAUAUUGCCAAAUAUAUGAAUUUGAAUUAACAGCCACUGAAAUCCAUAGAAAUUGCACAAUCAACUCCAAGUUUGCGGCAAACAGUAUUAGCUUUUCAGAAAGAACGUACAAAGUAAUUGAUUUCACCAGGAGAGACAUGUCUAGAAAGCAAUCCAUCUCACCUCAUGCUCAUCCUUCUGUUUCAAGCCAUAUUUCUCAAACUUGUGUUACAAGACUGCUAGUGAUCAAGGGGAAGAUCUGCCUUCAACUCUUUAAUUGUUCUGUUUAAAAAUCCUUAUGUGUUUUGUCGGGUUGUAAGCCUUCUAGAGAUGUUAUGGUUUGGCUGUAUAUAAAUUUAAUAAA